Molecule: long non-coding RNA, 2123 nt
Filed under: Homo sapiens (human)
Lineage: Eukaryota; Metazoa; Chordata; Mammalia; Primates; Hominidae
Description: prostate cancer associated transcript 7, transcript variant 6 (PCAT7)
Source: RNAcentral
AGGAUAUAAAUAAUGCUGAAGCAGAGUUACGUUUUUUUUGUUGUUGUUUUUUUUGUUUUUGUUUUUUUAGGUUUCCGUGUGUUUCUAUUGAGCUGCUCAGUGCCCGGCUUAGAAGACCAGGAAAAGGAGUCACAGGUCGUAUGCUGGAGGCUUGAGCCGCGGCACCGUGGCGCGGCUCGCCUCGCUGCGGUUGGUGGUGGCGGUGGACAUUGCAGCGCGGCUGGAGGGGUAGGAAGAAGAAGAUAGUUUUGGGAUAGAUAGAGGUGAGAUAUUCCUGCACAUCCUCUGGUGACCCCAGAAUGAGGGGGACUCGCUGGUGAAUUGCCUCGGGCUUCACGUCCAGUACAGGCUGGGUCCCCGUGGUCGCCAAGCCUCCUGCCUGCUCAAUGAUGUAGGCCACGGGAUUGCAUUCAUACAGGAGCCGGAGCUGUGGAGGAACAGAGGCAGGUUCCUUGGGAUUUUCUACAUAGACCAUCAUGUCGUCUGCAAGAACAGUGUUAUUACCUGCUUUCCAAUCUGUAUGUGUUUCAUCAUCUUCCUUGCCUUAUUGUGCUGGCUACAACUUUCAGGAUUACAUAUGUUGGGUAACAGUGGCGAGUGAGGACAUCCUUGCUUUGUUACUGAUCUUAGAGUAUAAGCAUUCAGUCUUUCACCAUUAAAUGUAAUGCUAGCUGUAGAUGUACUUGAUAGAGUUAAGGGACGCUCCUCCUCUAUUUCUUGUUUUCUAAGACUUUCUGUUUUUUCAGAGACAGGGUCUUGCUCUGUUGCCCAGGGUGGAGUGCAGUGGCUUGGUCAUGGCUCACUGCAGCCUCCAACUCCUGGGCUUAAGUCAUCCUCCCAUCUCAACUUCUUGAGUAGCUGGGACUACGGGUAUGCACUACCACCCCCCUCUCCAGCUAAUGUCUUUUUUGAGAUGGGGGUCUUGCUAUGUUGCCCAGGCUGGUCUCAAACUCCUGGCCUCAAGCAAUCCUCCUACCUCAGCAAGUUUCUUUUUUAAAUAAUGAAUGAGUGUUGAAUUUGUUCAAAUGUUUUUUCUCCAUCAAUAGAUACGAUUAUGUGAUUUUUCUUCUUUAGCCUGUUGAUAUGGUGGAUUACACUGACUGAUUAUGAAUACUGGAUCAGUCUUCCAUCACCAGAAUAAACCCCACUCAGCCAUGGUGUAUAAUUUAUUUUAUGUAUUGUUGAAUUCUAUUUGCCAAUAUUUUGUUAAGAGUUUUUGCAUUUAUUGAUAAGGAAUAUUGGUCUGUGGUAUUUUUUUGAACAAUCUUUGUCUGGUUUUUGUAUCAGGAUAACACUGGUUUCAUAAAAUGAAUUGGGAAGUGUUCCUUCCUAUUAUCUUUUCUGGAAGAGACUGAAUAAUCUGUGAAUAUUUGUUAUGUUUUUCCAGUAAACCAUCUGAGCCUGGAGAUUUCUUUUCUUGGGCAUGAGUUUCUUAAUAGUAUUGAGCCCUGUAGAUAGCCAUUCAAAGUAUCUAUUUUAUAUUGGGUGAGUUAGAGUAUUGUAGUUUUUGAGACAUUGGUUCGUUUCAUCUAAGUUGUCAAAUGUAUGCAUGUGGAGUUGUUUCUAAUAUUCUCUUUUUAUCCUUUUGAAAAACAAGGCAACCUGAGAUUAACAAUCUACUGCAUAAAUACACAAUUCUCUGAUCAUUUUCCCAAGAUAAAUUCCCAAUAAUUAAAUAAUUGGGUAAAAAUCUUUUGAUACAUAUUGAAAAAUUGUCCUCCAGAAAGAGUGCAUCAAUUUAUACUUUUACCACUAAUAAUAAGAGAGUUCAUUUUAAUUCAGCCUGGUAAACACAAGAUAGCAUUGUCUUUUCAACUUUGUCAAUUUGACAGGUGGACAAAAUGACAUCUCUUUUGUUUUAACUUCUAUUUUUUAUGAGUCAGGUAAAACCUUUUAUAUGUUUAUUUUGACCAUUUUUAUUUUGUAAGUUGUCUCUUUCAUGUCUUGCUUAUUUUUCUAUCAGGAUAUUCAACUUCUUGUUUAUUUUAAUAGCUCUUUAUAUAUAAAGGAUAUUAAUGUCUUGUAUAUGUCACAAAUAUUUUCCUCGAUUGUCAUUGCCUUCUUAUUUAUGGUGCCUGUUUUUGCAGUGCAGUUUUAAAAUUAAAAUUAUUCAUGACAUUCCA